UCCGUGGCGGUCCGCGGCCUCCGGCAGGGCGGUUCAAGGCCGCUCCGGCGGGGCGGUUCGCGGCCGCUCGGCGAAA
RNAcentral lists this transfer RNA (76 nucleotides) under Glycomyces algeriensis. Its description in RNAcentral is "tRNA-Leu". Lineage: Bacteria; Bacillati; Actinomycetota; Actinomycetes; Glycomycetales; Glycomycetaceae. The record is from RNAcentral.